GGAGUUAGCCGGUGCUUCUUCUGUGAGUGAUGUCCUUCCUGCCGGCUAUUAACCCGCAGGCCUUCUUCCUCACUGAAAGUGCUUUACAACCCGAAGGCCUUCUUCACACACGCGGCAUGGCUGGAUCAGGGUUGCCCCCAUUGUCCAAUAUUCCCCACUGCUGCCUCCCGUAGGAGUCUGGGCCGUGUCUCAGUCCCAGUGUGGCUGAUCAUCCUCUCAGACCAGCUACGGAUCGUCGCCUUGGUGAGCCGUUACCUCACCAACCAGCUAAUCCGACAUAGGCUCAUCCGAUAGCGCGAGGCCCGAAGGUCCCCCGCUUUCCCCCGUAGGGCGUAUGCGGUAUUAGCCUGGGUUUCCCCAGGUUAUCCCCCACUACCGGGCAGAUUCCUAUGCAUUACUCACCCGUCCGCCGCUCGCCACCAGGGAGCAAGCUCCCCGUGCUGCCGCUCGACUUGCAUGUGUUAGGCCUGCCGCCAGCGUUCAAUCUGAGCCAGAAUCAAACUACUGA
Molecule: ribosomal RNA, 508 nt
Filed under: uncultured bacterium
Lineage: Bacteria
Description: partial 16S ribosomal RNA
Source: RNAcentral